This 497-nucleotide ribosomal RNA is filed under the name uncultured bacterium. RNAcentral describes it as "partial 16S ribosomal RNA". It matches the Rfam family "Bacterial small subunit ribosomal RNA", at positions 28 to 507 of the family's 1533-position model. The record is from RNAcentral.
GAUGAACGCUGGCGGCGUGCCUAAUACAUGCAAGUCGAGCGAACAGACGAGGAGCUUGCUCCCCUGACGUUAGCGGCGGACGGGUGAGUAACACGUGGAUACCCUAUCUAUAAGACUGGGCUAACUUCGGCAAACUGGAGCUAACACCGGAUAAUAUAUUGAACCGCAUGGUUCAAUAGUGCAAGACGGUUUUGCUGUCACUUAUAGAUGGAUCCGCGCCGCAUUAGCUAGUUGGUACGGUAAAGACUUACCAAGGCAACGAUGCGUAGCCGACCUGAGAGGAGGAGCAGGAACACUGGGACUGAGACACGGCCAAGACUCCUAAGGGACGCAGCAGUGGGGAAUGUUGGAGGAUGGGGGCAAAUCUGAUCCAGCAAUGCCGGGAGCAAGAAGAAGGACUUAGGGUUGUAAAAAGGUGUUGCGCGGGAAGAGAUAAUCAGGGCUAAUAGCCCGGGGGGGGGACGGUACCGGAAGAAGAAGCACAGGCUAGAUACGUG